RNAcentral lists this ribosomal RNA (1053 nucleotides) under Mycolicibacterium neoaurum. RNAcentral describes it as "bacterial SSU rRNA". It matches the Rfam family "Bacterial small subunit ribosomal RNA", at positions 334 to 1397 of the family's 1533-position model. Lineage: Bacteria; Bacillati; Actinomycetota; Actinomycetes; Mycobacteriales; Mycobacteriaceae. The record is from RNAcentral.
GAUUCCUACGGGAGGCAGCAGUGGGGAAUAUUGCACAAUGGGCGCAAGCCUGAUGCAGCGACGCCGCGUGAGGGAUGACGGCCUUCGGGUUGUAAACCUCUUUCAGCACAGACGAAGCGCAAGUGACGGUAUGUGCAGAAGAAGGACCGGCCAACUACGUGCCAGCAGCCGCGGUAAUACGUAGGGUCCGAGCGUUGUCCGGAAUUACUGGGCGUAAAGAGCUCGUAGGUGGUUUGUCGCGUUGUUCGUGAAAACUCACAGCUUAACUGUGGGCGUGCGGGCGAUACGGGCAGACUAGAGUACUGCAGGGGAGACUGGAAUUCCUGGUGUAGCGGUGGAAUGCGCAGAUAUCAGGAGGAACACCGGUGGCGAAGGCGGGUCUCUGGGCAGUAACUGACGCUGAGGAGCGAAAGCGUGGGGAGCGAACAGGAUUAGAUACCCUGGUAGUCCACGCCGUAAACGGUGGGUACUAGGUGUGGGUUUCCUUCCUUGGGAUCCGUGCCGUAGCUAACGCAUUAAGUACCCCGCCUGGGGAGUACGGCCGCAAGGCUAAAACUCAAAGGAAUUGACGGGGGCCCGCACAAGCGGCGGAGCAUGUGGAUUAAUUCGAUGCAACGCGAAGAACCUUACCUGGGUUUGACAUGCACAGGACGCUGGUAGAGAUAUCAGUUCCCUUGUGGCCUGUGUGCAGGUGGUGCAUGGCUGUCGUCAGCUCGUGUCGUGAGAUGUUGGGUUAAGUCCCGCAACGAGCGCAACCCUUGUCCUAUGUUGCCAGCGGGUUAUGCCGGGGACUCGUAGGAGACUGCCGGGGUCAACUCGGAGGAAGGUGGGGAUGACGUCAAGUCAUCAUGCCCCUUAUGUCCAGGGCUUCACACAUGCUACAAUGGCCGGUACAAAGGGCUGCGAUGCCGUGAGGUGGAGCGAAUCCUUUCAAAGCCGGUCUCAGUUCGGAUCGGGGUCUGCAACUCGACCCCGUGAAGUCGGAGUCGCUAGUAAUCGCAGAUCAGCAACGCUGCGGUGAAUACGUUCCCGGGCCUUGUACACACCGCCCGU